UCCCAGUUCGGAUCGCAGGCUGCAACCCGCCUGCGUGAAGUUGGAAUCGCUAGUAAUCGCGGAUCAGCAUGCCGCGGUGAAUACGUUCCCGGGCCUUGUACACACCGCCCGUCACACCAUGAGAGUCGGGAACACCCGAAGUCCGUAGCCUAACCGCAAGGGGGCGCGGCCGAAGGUGGGUUCGAUAAUUGGGGUGAAGUCGUAACAAGGUACC
This 214-nucleotide ribosomal RNA is filed under the name uncultured bacterium. RNAcentral's name for it is "partial 16S ribosomal RNA". It matches the Rfam family "Bacterial small subunit ribosomal RNA", at positions 1286 to 1500 of the family's 1533-position model. The record is from RNAcentral.